Molecule: ribosomal RNA, 492 nt
Filed under: uncultured bacterium
Lineage: Bacteria
Description: partial 16S ribosomal RNA
Rfam family: Bacterial small subunit ribosomal RNA
Source: RNAcentral
AGUGAACGCUGGCGGUAGGCCUAACACAUGCAAGUCGAACGGCAGCACAGUAAGAGCUUGCUCUUACGGGUGGCGAGUGGCGGACGGGUGAGGAAUACAUCGGAAUCUACUUUUUCGUGGGGGAUAACGUAGGGAUACUUACGCUAAUACCGCAUACGACCUACGGGUGAAAGCAGGGGAUCUUCGGACCUUGCGCGAUUGAAUGAGCCGAUGUCGGAUUAGCUAGUUGGCGGGGUAAAGGCCCACCAAGGCGACGAUCCGUAGCUGGUCUGAGAGGAUGAUCAGCCACACUGGAACUGAGACACGGUCCAGACUCCUACGGGAGGCAGCAGUGGGGAAUAUUGGACAAAGGGCGCAAGCCUGAUCCAGCCAUACCGCGUGGGUGAAGAAGGCCUUCGGGUUGUAAAGCCCUUUUGUUGGGAAAGAAAAGCAGCAGGUUAAUACCCCGCUGUUCUGACGGUACCCAAAGAAUAAGCACCGGCUAACUUCGUG